GUGCCUUACUCUAAGGGGGGCAAAAGCACACUGGAAAAUUGCCAGGUUUUGCAGGCAACAGUUAACCGAUCAAAGGGAAACAAAACUGAGCUGUCAAGAGCUGAUCUUAUUCAGAAAAGUUCCUAUUGCCGUGUUUCUGGACGUGACAUGGAUCUUAUUGAGCUGUCAGCCUAUGGCAAUGUGCAGCAUGUACAGGACCCGGGAGGUUGUAGAAUUCAAUGAACAACUGGCUACUGUAAAAACUGAUGUCAAGAUGGGGCAAAGAAUUUGUAUUUCUAAUCAUACAAUUAAUGAUACCUUUAUCUU
This 306-nucleotide unclassified non-coding RNA is filed under the name Hevea brasiliensis (rubber tree). The record is from RNAcentral. Lineage: Eukaryota; Viridiplantae; Streptophyta; Magnoliopsida; Malpighiales; Euphorbiaceae.